Molecule: long non-coding RNA, 665 nt
Organism: Juglans regia (Persian walnut)
Lineage: Eukaryota; Viridiplantae; Streptophyta; Magnoliopsida; Fagales; Juglandaceae
Exons: 2
Source: RefSeq, a predicted model, not a curated record
CCUUCACAACUUCUACCUAAUAUACUCCCACCCAUUAAUAGAGGCUUAUCAGAAUGCCCCAAAUUGAAAACUUGUACCAGGAAUCUCUCUCUCUCUCUCUCUCUCUCUCUCUCUCUCUCGCCACUUCUUUAAUCAGUGGAGGCUAGUCGACAGCAAAAAUCUUCACACGUGAUCUCUACAUCCGUCAUUUUUAUCUCUGAAGGGCCGAAGGGGUUUUACAGCAGAUUCACUGCAUGUUAAGGAGUAAGGAAAUCAAGAGAGCUUACCUUGCGCAAGGUAUAAAAGGAUUCAAGAUAUUUGGACAAUGAAGCAGCAUCAUUCAAGUUAUCUAGUGGCUUAAGGAGAUCUCGGAGUAUGACAAUGUCGGAAAGUGCCACAGUCAUUCCACCGCCAGUUAAAGGAUGGCGCAUGUUGAAAGCAUCACCCAUUAAAAGGGCUCCAGGAGUAAGAUGCGGAUCCGCUGGCAUGCUUCUAUUUUGCAUAGUUCUGAUGUUUCCUUUGUCCACUGCAGAUAUGAAGUCAUCACGAAGCUCUGGUGGAACCUGUGACACAAGUAUUUUUAUUAAUUCCGAGGUGUAAGAGAUAUAGAUGUUCUUCUUGAAGUCAUAGUGGAAUAACCAUGAACAAUAAAGAAUAAAGGUCUGCCCAUUCAUCUGGGCUACGAA